UACGUAGGGUGCAAGCGUUAAUCGGAAUUACUGGGCGUAAAGCGUGCGCAGGCGGUUUUGUAAGUCAGAUGUGAAAUCCCCGGGCUUAACCUGGGAACUGCGUUUGAAACUACAAGGCUAGAGUGUGGCAGAGGGGGGUGGAAUUCCACGUGUAGCAGUGAAAUGCGUAGAGAUUGGAAAGAACACCGAUGGCGAAGGCACUUUACUGGGCUAUUACUAACACUGAGAGACGAAAGCUAGGGUAGCAAAUGGG
RNAcentral lists this ribosomal RNA (253 nucleotides) under uncultured bacterium. RNAcentral's name for it is "partial 16S ribosomal RNA". It matches the Rfam family "Bacterial small subunit ribosomal RNA", at positions 524 to 776 of the family's 1533-position model. The record is from RNAcentral.